AUGUACAUGCAUACAUUGUUAGUGCACCAGAUCCCAUUAGAAACCUCCACUUAAGUGCACUUUGGCUAGAGUAGUACUAGGAUGGGUGACCUCCUAGGAAGUCCUAGUGUUUUACAUG
This is a non-coding RNA of Picea glauca (white spruce), 118 nucleotides long. NCBI's taxonomy places the organism in Eukaryota, Viridiplantae, Streptophyta, Pinopsida, Pinales, Pinaceae. The record is from Rfam.